CAGAAACAUGUUCACAGUCAUGCAUGUAUGAUUAUGAAAUUCAAAUUAACACAAAAUGUACAGAUUUGGAACUACAUGCAUGCACAUUCUAUUAGACUCAGACAUAACAAAACACACAGUCUCAUAUGGAUGCACACCUAAUUUAGAAUGACAUGCAUGCACGCACACAAGCACACACAGUGUGUCUUACAAAGAAAGGAUUGAAACCAAAGGAAAGAGAAGAGAAGGGGGGGGGGUGACCAUCAACGUGGAGCUGCACCUUGCCAAGAGCAUCAGGUUCAAUUCUUCUGCGAAUCCCUUUGCCCACUGCGACGUCUACCUCUACAGGGCGCCCACAACCAAACUCCGAGUCCCCAAUGGGCCCCCUGCACGGACCGCUAAUGGCCCCAGCAGAGCUAAGGGUCGAGUCUUGAGGUGGGAGGACAACACGUACCCUCCUUCUCCCCCCUGUUCGAUCUGCAGCCCCGUCAGCACUCGCUUGCUCUCAGGCUCCAGGAUCAACAAGCGUUCUAGAACGCGGACUCUGAACCCCAACGCCCCCCUAUGAACCCGCCCUGUCUCCUGCAAAAUGACAUUCCCACACAACUAAACUGCAUCAUCAACUACGUAUGGAUGGAAACGUAUCUUGUCACUGAUUUAAACACGUGGUUAAUGUUGUAAAAAAGAACGCAACACAAUCACUUACAUUAAGGCAUCAAAACGAAAUGGUUAAAUACGUUUCCCUCUAAACGUAAUUGACAAUGCCGUUUGUCCGGAUGAAAUGUUCCUCAUAUCUCGUUGUCCUGGAUGUCAUCUUGAAAAUUGUUCUGUGAAUGUGUGUGUUGCAUUUUGUUGCCGUUUAACAGAAGUUCUUAUUUAAGGAAAACAUUUUCCAUAGUUUGUGUCAGGUUGAAACUGGAAGUUGGAGCGUGAAGUGUCGGCCUUUCUUGGACUCUGACAUCUGUGGGACAAACAUGGGACUCAGACGGAGUUCAUGCUAGCUUGCAUUCUGUUGUACACGACCACUGACCUCCUCUGUAUUCUGAAAAAUCUAUAAAUGUUUGCAACUGGGAAGAUCUUUAUGUAAAUUAAAAUAAUCCUUU
Molecule: long non-coding RNA, 1082 nt
Filed under: Cottoperca gobio
Lineage: Eukaryota; Metazoa; Chordata; Actinopteri; Perciformes; Bovichtidae
Description: lncRNA (ENSCGOG00000005643.1)
Source: RNAcentral